This 1149-nucleotide long non-coding RNA is filed under the name Ananas comosus (pineapple). RNAcentral describes it as "long non-coding RNA (ACOM_LNC031725)". Lineage: Eukaryota; Viridiplantae; Streptophyta; Magnoliopsida; Poales; Bromeliaceae. The record is from RNAcentral.
UAUUUGGUUAAGAGUUUAGAUUAGAUUAGUUAUACUUAAAAGUUCAGAUCAAAAUUAUUGUAAUCAAGUUUUACAACUUAAUUUCGUUGACUAAAUAUUAAUAUAUCAUUUAUCUAUAAGUUAUACAGUGGUACUGUGAUUGAUGAUGCACUAAUAAUUAAGAUGUUAUAUCACUGAUACAUCAGCAAAUGCGUCAGUAUUUAGUCAAUUAAAUUAAAUUGUGAAAUUUUUUGCUAUAAUUCUAAAAAUUUGAGUCAAAAAUUGUAAUACAUUAAAAUUUGGGGAUUAAGGUUUAUCCCUCUUAUAGUUUGAGAGCCAAAAGUACAAUUUAUUUAUAAUUCUUAAAUUAAUAUGUCUAGAUCAUAUUAUAUAAUAGAAUUUUAAAAGUUUAUAAUAACUUUCUCAUAUGGAUUAUUAUCAUUAUCAUUAAUAUUAUUGGUGUAAAUUUUAGAUUUACAUUUUUCUCUUGUGUAUAUAGAUAAUAUUUUUUAAAAUUAAUGGCGGCGGUGUUGACUGAAGAUUGUGUAUAUAUAUAUAUAUAUAUAGAGCAUGGCUACUAUAUUCUUACGAGUAUAGAAUCCUUACUACUCAUAAGUUGUUUUCGAUGUUGGAGUUUUCAAAUCGACGAUCCACACCGUUAAACAUAAUCUAGAGUAUUUGAAACUUCUAAAAAAUAAAUUUCAUAAAUUUUUGAAAUCAUUAUAAAGUCCAUCAAGCGAGUAUAAAAUUACGGUUAAAAUUGAACGACAUCCUAAAAAUGAAUGAUCAGAUCCUUCAAUUUAUGAUCGGAAUUGUUGAUCUUUAUUUAGGUAGUGAAUAGAAUUUUUUAUCAAAAAUUCAAUCUAUUUCAAUUCUUUUUCACUGUUAAAAUAACAAAUAUUUCAUACCGGCCGUUAAAAAUUAUCAAUUUUGUGACCUCUUGAUCGUAAGGUAAAUGAUAUCGAAAAAUUAUAAAAUUUAAUAUCUAGAAGUUUUAAAUACUCUAGAUAAUGUUUAACGGUAUGGAUCGUCAAUUCGGAAGCUCUAUCAUCGAAAACAACUUAUGAGUACGAGGGUGAUCGUACUCAUAAGAGUAUAGUAGAUCCAAAAAUUAUUAAUUUUUAACUUAUCAAACUAAUUUUUAUUUUAAUUAAAAAUUAAUUAACUUUU